Molecule: small nucleolar RNA, 75 nt
Organism: Ficedula albicollis (Collared flycatcher)
Lineage: Eukaryota; Metazoa; Chordata; Aves; Passeriformes; Muscicapidae
Product: small nucleolar RNA, C/D box 61
Source: Ensembl
GCUGUGAUGACCUUUUUUUUGCGUUGAUCAUCUGAAAUGAUGGCGCUUACAUGUCCUCUAAGAAGUUCUGAGCUU